RNAcentral lists this ribosomal RNA (498 nucleotides) under uncultured Polaribacter sp. Its description in RNAcentral is "bacterial SSU rRNA". It matches the Rfam family "Bacterial small subunit ribosomal RNA", at positions 76 to 572 of the family's 1533-position model. Lineage: Bacteria; Pseudomonadati; Bacteroidota; Flavobacteriia; Flavobacteriales; Flavobacteriaceae. The record is from RNAcentral.
GUGCUUGCACAGAUGACGACCGGCGCACGGGUGCGUAACGCGUAUAGAACCUACCUUUUACAGAGGAAUAGCCUUUAGAAAUGAAGAUUAAUGCCUCAUGGUAUUGUAGACUGGCAUCAGUUUAUAAUUAAAGAUUUAUCGGUAAAAGAUGGCUAUGCGUCCUAUUAGUUAGUUGGUAAGGUAACGGCUUACCAAGACAGCGAUAGGUAGGGGUCCUGAGAGGGAGAUCCCCCACACUGGUACUGAGACACGGACCAGACUCCUACGGGAGGCAGCAGUGAGGAAUAUUGGACAAUGGAGGAGACUCUGAUCCAGCCAUGCCGCGUGUAGGAAGAAUGCCCUAUGGGUUGUAAACUACUUUUAUACAGGAAGAAACACUGGUAUGUAUACCAGCUUGACGGUACUGUAAGAAUAAGGACCGGCUAACUCCGUGCCAGCAGCCGCGGUAAUACGGAGGGUCCGAGCGUUAUCCGGAAUCAUUGGGUUUAAAGGGUCCGC